AUUGAACGCUGGCGGCAUGCUUUACACAUGCAAGUCGAACGGUAACAGGCCGCAAGGUGCUGACGAGUGGCGAACGGGUGAGUAAUGCAUCGGAACGUGCCCAGUCGUGGGGGAUAACGCAGCGAAAGCUGCGCUAAUACCGCAUACGAUCUCUGGAUGAAAGCGGGGGACCGAAAGGCCUCGCGCGAUUGGAGCGGCCGAUGUCAGAGUAGGUAGUUGGUGGGGUAAAGGCCCACCAAGCCAACGAUCUGUAGCUGGUCUGAGAGGACGACCAGCCACACUGGGACUGGGACACGGCCCAGACUCCUACGGGAGGCAGCAGUGGGGAAUUUUGGACAAUGGGCGCAAGCCUGAUCCAGCAAUGCCGCGUGCAGGAAGAAGGCCUUCGGGUUGUAAACUGCUUUUGUACGGAACGAAACGGUCCGGGUUAAUACCCUGGGCUAAUGACGGUACCGUAAGAAUAAGCACCGGCUAACUACGUGCCAGCCGCCGCAGUAA
This 498-nucleotide ribosomal RNA is filed under the name uncultured bacterium. RNAcentral describes it as "partial 16S ribosomal RNA". It matches the Rfam family "Bacterial small subunit ribosomal RNA", at positions 29 to 523 of the family's 1533-position model. The record is from RNAcentral.